RNAcentral lists this unclassified non-coding RNA (244 nucleotides) under Hevea brasiliensis (rubber tree). The record is from RNAcentral. Lineage: Eukaryota; Viridiplantae; Streptophyta; Magnoliopsida; Malpighiales; Euphorbiaceae.
AAAUAGGCAAACUCAUCAACGGACUCCCCAUCCCCUCUUUUUUUCCAUCUAAUUGGUUUAUGUGUAUUUAUGUGUAUUAUAGGAUAGGAUAAAAAGAUAAUUAGAAAUCCUUUAUUUUUUCAAGCCGAUCGCUCUUUUGAUUUUGGAAAAAAAUCUCGUUAUCAAUAUACUCUUUCUUCUACACAUCCAUCUCCCCCUCAUAGUGGAGAAUACCUAAUAGUUAGGACUUAUUAAAAGAAAAUAG